RNAcentral lists this ribosomal RNA (429 nucleotides) under Gemmatimonadota bacterium. RNAcentral's name for it is "Gemmatimonadetes bacterium partial 16S ribosomal RNA". It matches the Rfam family "Bacterial small subunit ribosomal RNA", at positions 355 to 776 of the family's 1533-position model. Lineage: Bacteria; Pseudomonadati; Gemmatimonadota. The record is from RNAcentral.
UAGGGAAUCUUCGGCAAUGGACGAAAGUCUGACCGAGCAACGCCGCGUGAGUGAAGAAGGUUCUCGGAUCGUCAAACUCUGUUGUUAGAGAAGAACAAGGACGUUAGUAACUGAACGUCCCCUGACGGUAUCUAACCAGAAAGCCACGGCUAACUACGUGCCAGCAGCCGCGGUCAUACGUAGGUGGCAAGCGUUGUCCGGAUUUAUUGGGCGUAAAGCGAGCGCAGGCGGUUUCUUAAGUCUGAUGUGAAAGCCCCCGGCUCAACCGGAGAGGGUCAUUGGAAGCUGGGCGACGUGAGUGCAGAAGAGGAGAGUGGAAUUCCAUGUGUAGCGGGGAAAUGCGUAAAUAUAUGGAGGAACACCAGUGGCGAAGGCGGCUCUCUGGUCUAUAACUGACGAUAAGGCUCAAAAGCGUGGGUAGCAAACAGG